This 168-nucleotide ribosomal RNA is filed under the name Dumasia yunnanensis. RNAcentral's name for it is "5.8S ribosomal RNA". It matches the Rfam family "5.8S ribosomal RNA". From Rfam's summary of the family: 5.8S ribosomal RNA (5.8S rRNA) is a component of the large subunit of the eukaryotic ribosome. It is transcribed by RNA polymerase I as part of the 45S precursor that also contains 18S and 28S rRNA. Functionally, it is thought that 5.8S rRNA may be involved in ribosome translocation. The record is from RNAcentral. Lineage: Eukaryota; Viridiplantae; Streptophyta; Magnoliopsida; Fabales; Fabaceae.
AUACAAAAUGACUCUCGGCAACGGAUAUCUCGGCUCUUGCAUCGAUGAAGAACGUAGCGAAAUGCGAUACUUGGUGUGAAUUGCAGAAUCCCGUGAACCAUCGAGUCUUUGAACGCAAGUUGCGCCUGAAGCCAUUAGGCUGAGGGCACGCCUGCCUGGGUGUCACAC